AUGCUAUGUCCUGGGCAAGAAUGGACACUCCAAAUCAUGACACUGCCGGAAGAUGGGAUGGCACCCUGGGUGAGUUGGUCAACAGCCUUCCAGGUGAUGGGUGUUAAGUGCCAGCACUUUGUGGAAUGUGCAGCCGCAGCUUCCCCAGCUUCAAGUUUUGUGGGGAGUAAGUCUGCCCUGGAAGCCCUUAAGGCCACAGGGCCGGAUGUCCACAGAAGGCAUUCACGUAAGGUUCCCGCUCAGACCCACCCGGUUACAGGUCUGGCAGGGAGCAAGGGCAAGGGGUACAGGGCAGGAGGGGGCAGCCGUGGCAGUGAAGGAAUCAUGUCAAUUUUUGCGGUCUGACCAUUCCUGGGGAAGGCCUCCAUGGCCAGCAUGUAUUAUGACAUCACAAUGGCAGUUUUAUUAUGUCACAAUGGAAGCUAAUGGCAUCACAAUGAUGGUUUAUGUCAUCUCUAGUGAUUAUAACAACACAAUGGCUGGCUAAUCACAAUUGUUUUAUCACUUCAACAUUGAGUGUGAUAGUUCAAUAUGGAUUUAUGACAACAUGGUGGUAUAACACCACAUAUGAUUAUGACAUCACAUUCUUGUUCAUGAUAUCAAAACAUUUUAGGACUUCAAAAUCAAUUAUGGCAAUGUAAUGGUUGUUUAAUGACAAAAAUGGUGCAUUUAUAGCAUCAGGAUUUUGGUAUAUGACAAUUAUUUUCAUAACAUCACAAUUAUUACAACACUGUGAUGAUUUAUGAUAUCACAACGUUCACACAUCACAGUGUUCAUGAUAUCACAAUGGUUGUUUAUGAAAUUACAUUUGAUCAUGAUACUUCAUAAUUGAUUAUGACAUCAGAGCAGUUGGUUUAUAAGUUACACUGGCUUUGUAUGGAAUAUGAUAUCACAUAUAAUAGUCUAUGAAAUAACAAUAGUGGUUAUGACAUCACAAUUCAUUAGUAUUUCAAAAUGGUAGGUUUACCUCACAAUGGUUCGGAAUUGUUUAUGACUCACAGUUAUAGGUCUAUGAUAUAAUAAUGGUGGCUUAUAAUAUUUGAGUUGAUUAUGACAUGAUUUUUGUGACAUCACCAUUGAUUAUGACAAAAUAAUGGUAGCUUUGUAACAUGACCAUAGAUUUUUAUGUAAAAUACUGGUUUAUGACAUCACAAUAGAUUUUAUAUCACAAUUAAUUAUAAUGGUAUUUUAUGACAGUUCAAUUGAUUAUGAUGUCAUAAAAUUCAACUUCUGAUAUUACAAUUGUUUUAUAACUUCACAGUUGAUUGUGACAUUAAGUGGUAGGUUUAGCACAUCACAAUGGUGGAUUAUUAAUUAUAACAUUACAAGGUUUACAAAAUUACAAUUAAUUGUGACACAACAAUGGUAGCUUUAUAACAGCAUGAUGGUUUUUAUGGUUUCUGUGACAUCACAAUUUAUGAAAACAUCAUAAUGAUAUUCUAUGACAUAACAAUUGAUAAUGAAUUUGUCCCAGUUGAUUAAGAAAUCAUGAGGUUUUUUUCAACAAUCACAAUUGAUUAUAACAAUGGUAACUUUAUGACAUCACAAUAUAUUUUCACUUCAAAAUUCAUUUUAUGACAUCAGAAUUGAGUAUAAUAUUAAAAUAAUGUCUAUGCUAGUUUACAUAUGACAUCACAGUAGUUGGUUUAUGACAACAUAAUGAUGGUUCCGUGGUCGUUUUAUGACAUCACAAUUGAUUAUGGAAACUCAAUGGUUGGUUUUUGAUAUCACACUAGAAGGCUUAAAACAUCACAAUGGCUUUUUACAUCAAAAUGGUGGCUUAUGACAUUAUGAUUGUGACAUUACAAUGGUAGGUUUAUGAAAUCAGAGUGGAUUAUGGUUGGGUUAUGAUAUAACAUUGUUUGAUUACAGCAUCACAAUAUGGAUUUAUGACAUUACAAUGGUUUUUGCGAAUCACAAUAUUGAUAUUGACUUCAUAACACAAAAUUACAUUGACCUCACCUGGGUGUUUAAUACAUCACAAUUGAUUAUGACAUUACAGUAGAUUUAUGCUUUUAAUGCCUUCAAAAUAGCUACUCAUUUUAAAUUCAUUUUGUGAUGCUACAAUUAUGAUAUCAGAACAGUAUGUCUGAUGGCACAAUGAUAGGUAUGAUGUCACAAUAGAUUUAGGACUUUACAAUUAAUCAUAACAUCACAACAGUUGGAUUAUGACAUCACAAUUGUUUGUGUAUGGCAUCAAAUAUUGCUUUAUGAAAUCACAAUGGUUUUAUGAGAUCACAAUCUAAAUCAUAAUGGUGGUUUAUGACAUCACUAUCCAUUGGAACAUUGCCAUGAUGGUUUAUGAUAAGACAGUGGUAGCAUAUGGCAUUACAAUCGAUUAUGACAUCACAAUGUUACGUGUAUGAAGCCAGAAGUUUUGAUGGCUUCACAAUUUACUGUAACAUAAAUGGUAGGUUUCUGAUAGUACAGUGUUUUUGCACAUUAUUAAUGUGUCAUAAUGUACAAGAAUAAAAGAAGCAAAGAACAAAAUAAACA
This is a long non-coding RNA of Oryctolagus cuniculus (rabbit), 2496 nucleotides long. The record is from Ensembl. Lineage: Eukaryota; Metazoa; Chordata; Mammalia; Lagomorpha; Leporidae.